CCAGCCACACAAUUCAUUUUGGCUGAAAUCACUACAUAAAAGCAAUCAAAUUCCAUUAUGAAUAAUAAGAUUUGUUAAGAAUUACUACAACCACAUGUUGCAUAAUUCUGUUCACGUGAUCACUCUUUAGUUCUUUGUUGAAGCCUGAGCAUUGGUGCAUGUUCCCGAGCAAGAAUCCACACAAUUCUUCACCUUUUCUUCAUCUG
RNAcentral lists this long non-coding RNA (206 nucleotides) under Prunus persica (peach). RNAcentral's name for it is "long non-coding RNA (PPER_LNC002988)". Lineage: Eukaryota; Viridiplantae; Streptophyta; Magnoliopsida; Rosales; Rosaceae. The record is from RNAcentral.